RNAcentral lists this ribosomal RNA (493 nucleotides) under uncultured bacterium. Its description in RNAcentral is "partial 16S ribosomal RNA". It matches the Rfam family "Bacterial small subunit ribosomal RNA", at positions 28 to 507 of the family's 1533-position model. The record is from RNAcentral.
GACGAACGCUGGCGGCGUGCUUAACACAUGCCAGUCGAACGGUGAAGCACCUUCCUUUUGGUGGGUGUGGAUGAGUGGCGAACGGGUGAGUAACACGUGAGUAACCUGCCCCCUUCUUCUGGAUAACCGCAUGAAAGUGUGGCUAAUACGGGAUAUUCUGGGUCUGUCGCAUGGCGGGCCUGGGAAAGAUAUUGUUUCGGUGGGGGAUGGGCUCGCGGUCUAUCAGCUUGUUGGUGGGGUGAUGGCCUACCAAGGCGGUGACGGGUAGCCGGCCUGAGAGGGUGGACGGUCACACUGGGACUGAGACACGGCCCAGACUCCUACGGGAGGCAGCAGUGGGGAAUAUUGCACAAUGGGCGCAAGCCUGAUGCAGCGACGCCGCGUGAGGGAUGGAGGCCUGCGGGUUGUAAACCUCUUUCGCCAGUGAAGCAGGCCUGUCCCUUGUGUGGGUGGGUUGACGGUAGCUGGAUAAGAAGCGCCGGCUAACUACGUG